This 403-nucleotide ribosomal RNA is filed under the name uncultured bacterium. Its description in RNAcentral is "partial 16S ribosomal RNA". It matches the Rfam family "Bacterial small subunit ribosomal RNA", at positions 30 to 526 of the family's 1533-position model. The record is from RNAcentral.
AUUGAACGCUGGCGGCAGGCCUAACACAUGCAAGUCGAGCGAUCGGCGGACGGGUGAGUAAUGUAUGGGGACUGCCCGAUAGAGGGGGAUAACUACUGGAAACGGUGGCUACUCCCGCAUACUAUCGGAUACCCCAUAUGGGAUUAGCUAGUAGGUGGGGUAACGGCUCACCUAGGCGACUAUCUCUAGCUGGUCGGAGAGGCUGUUCAUCUACACUGGAACUGAGGCACGGUCCAGUAUCCUACGGAGUCAGCAGUGGGAAAUAUUGCACAAUGGGCGCAAGCCUGAGGCAGCCAUGCCGCGUGUAUGAAGAAGGCCUUAGGGUUGUAAAGUACUUUUAGCGGUGAGGCGUUACCCGCAGAAGAAGCACCGGCUAACUCCGUGCCAGCAGCCGCGGUAAUAC